CUGAGGACCCUCCAGCUCUAUAGCAAAACAACUUCGAACACCGCCAUGUUCUCCAGUACACGAUGAAACAUUCAGCCUACGAACGUUUUUGCCCACUCAAAGCUCUUCCAGACGACCCUCCGCUUUCACCAGUGUGGCCUUUUUCAGCGCCUCUUUUGGAGGCCACUUGGCGUUAAAGACCGAAUUGAGUUCCUCGAGUGUUCGACCACGAGUUUCGACACCCAAGAUGAACCAGACGGCCGCUUCAAAGGCAUGUCAGCUUUUUUUGAGCUCAUGGCAAGGAACGACGGUAAUUAGAACUUACCAUAUACUAAGUUGAGCGCCACGAAAACUAAGUAAUACUUCCAUCCAAUAGCAUCAAGAGCGAUAGCUGUGACAAAAGUGUUGUACAGGUUGGCACAAUUGCUCAUGAUCACAUGCUGUCGCAGGAACUUCAUUAGCAUUGUUCGUCAAACGAUCUAUCGUAUUGGGACUUACCACUCCCAUUCCCUUUGCUCUGGUAUGGUUCGCCAACACCUCUGCGCAGUAUGUGGCUGUCAGAGGAGUAUACACGAAACUAUAGAUACAUCCAAACAAAAAGAUAAAGGCCACACCGGCAUUGCUCAUGGUCGCAUUCACAUCAUCGGGAUUGCCAUCAAACUGGCUCGAAAAACCUGUCACAGCGGCAAACAAGCAAGCAAGUACGAUGGAUCCCACCCAAAGCUUGGUACGGCGGCCAAUCAUGUCGUUGGUUGCCGAGCCACAAACGGCGCCAGUACAAGAAACGAUUGAGUUGGCGAAUGUGAGAAGGAGACGGCGGUCGGUGGAUGUGAUGCCGAGUUUGGCGUACAUUGCGGGGAGAUAGU
RNAcentral lists this small RNA (845 nucleotides) under Cryptococcus neoformans H99. RNAcentral describes it as "Cryptococcus neoformans var. grubii H99 hypothetical RNA". Lineage: Eukaryota; Fungi; Basidiomycota; Tremellomycetes; Tremellales; Cryptococcaceae. The record is from RNAcentral.